GACGAACGCUGGAGGCGUACUUAACACAUGCAAGUCGAACGAUGAAAUGGAGCUUGCUCCAUGGAUUAGUGGCGAACGGGUGAGUAACACGUGAAUAACCUGCCCUUAAUUUUGGAAUAACCCAGGGAAACCUGGGCUAAUACCGGAUAAGUAAACCUGUGGCAUCACAUGGUUUUGGAAAGUUUUUCGAUUAAGGAUGGAUUCGCGGCCUAUCAGCCUGUUGGUGAGGUAAUGGCUCACCAAGGCGACGACGGGUAGCCGGCCUGAGAGGGUGAACGGCCACACUGGGACUGGGACACGGCCCAGACUCCUACGGGAGGCAGCAGUGGGGAAUAUUGCGCAAUGGACGAAAGUCUGACGCAGCGACGCCUCGUGAGGGACGAAGGUCUUCGGAUUGUAAACCUCUUUCAGCAGGGGCGAAGCGAAAGUGACGGUACCUGCAGAAGAAGCACCGGCUAACUAUGUGCCAGCCGCCGCCGUAA
Molecule: ribosomal RNA, 482 nt
Filed under: uncultured bacterium
Lineage: Bacteria
Description: partial 16S ribosomal RNA
Rfam family: Bacterial small subunit ribosomal RNA
Source: RNAcentral